CCGUAGGUGAACCUGCGGAAGGAUCAUUAUUGAAUGAACUUGGUGUGGUUGUUGCUGGCUCUCUMGUGGGGGCAUGUGCACACCCGCCCAUCCUCAUCUCUCCACCUGUGCACYUCUUGUAGACCUGGAUGAAUUUUCCGAGGUAACUCGGUCGGGGAGGAAUGCUGCGCUAUUWGCGUCGGCUUUCUUUGCACUUUCAAGCCUACGUUUUUUUCAUAUACCCCAUAGUAUGUAACAGAAUGUAUCAUUGGGCCUUAAGUGCCUAUAAACCUUAUACAACUUUCAGCAACGGAUCUCUUGGCUCUCGCAUCGAUGAAGAACGCAGCGAAAUGCGAUAAGUAAUGUGAAUUGCAGAAUUCAGUGAAUCAUCGAAUCUUUGAACGCACCUUGCGCUCCUUGGUAUUCCGAGGAGCAUGCCUGUUUGAGUGUCAUUUAAUUCUCAACCUUAUUAGCUUUUGCUGAUAAUGGCUUGGAUGUGGGGGUUUUCUUUUGCUGGCUUUCGUCAGCUCCCCUUAAAUGCAUUAGCUGGUGCCCCGCGUGGACUGUCCGUUCGGUGUGAUAAUUAUCUACGCCGUGGAUGUCUGCAAAUAGGUUUUGCACUGCUUCUAACYGUCUGUUCAUUUGGACAAUACAUGACAAUUUGACCUCAAAUCAGGUAGGACUACCCGCU
RNAcentral lists this ribosomal RNA (670 nucleotides) under Hymenogaster citrinus. Its description in RNAcentral is "eukaryotic LSU rRNA". The stretch from base 278 to 431 matches the Rfam family "5.8S ribosomal RNA". The record is from RNAcentral. Lineage: Eukaryota; Fungi; Basidiomycota; Agaricomycetes; Agaricales; Hymenogastraceae.